This is an RNA transcript of Helianthus annuus (common sunflower), 1153 nucleotides long. It is a transcript of the gene named coiled-coil domain-containing protein SCD2-like, with no coding region annotated. Lineage: Eukaryota; Viridiplantae; Streptophyta; Magnoliopsida; Asterales; Asteraceae. The transcript is spliced from 3 exons. The record is from RefSeq and is a predicted model, not a curated record.
ACGGUGUAAACUCUUCUUUCAUCUUUCUAUAAAAGCCGAUCCCUUCUCUCUCUGAAACCCUAUGCGGAAACCAUUCAGCAGAUAAUCCAGCAAUUCAUCCAAUCCAGACGACAUUCUUCCAGUUUACUGUAAUUUAACCUAAAUGGAUCGUAAGCGAACAGAGAGUCCGUCAUACACACGGCAGUGGAGCGGCGGUUCGAGCAGCACCGGUUCAUCAUCUCCGGCGAUGUCGUCAAGUUACUCAACGAUUAAGCGGACACAGACCGUCACUUCGAAGGCUGCGGCGCAGCGGUUAGCGCAAGUUAUGGCUUCUCAGACUACCGGUGAUGAUGAUGAGGAUGAGGAUGAUGAUGACCUAGGGUUCUGGUUUGGUAAACCGACGUCGUUUGGGAGUAAGAGUAACGGUAACGGUAACGGUAGUGCAUUGUCUGGUGUUUCGUUUGCUAGACCGAAUAGAUCGUCGUCGCCUGCGGUUCUUAGGAACAGUUCCCGUUUCCCAGUUGUUCUCACCUACAUCUGCCAGUGAUGUUAUUUGGUCUUGCAUUUUAUACAGAAGUCAGAGCGGAGAGAAGUGAGAGUCAAGAGAGAGCAGAAAUCUGUCGUCACCGGCGGUUUGUUGGUUUCUAGGCUAGAGACCCACCUUCACCGUUGGUACACUCACAUGUCGCCCACCAGCCAUCUUUAGUUCCGCACCGCUUAUACUACCGGUUACCACCGCUCGCUUCCGGCACCGACUUCGUCCCCAGUAUCCGCUAACCUCUGUCGUCACCACAACCACCAUCGCUUGCCACCUACAAAACCCCCCUAAUCGAACACUAGGGCAUCGGAAUGACCUUCAAUCGAACACCCAUCAGCAAUUUCACGUGUCGAUCGCUCUUCACCAGGACCACAAGUACGCUCAGCCACUUUUGACUUAAGUUCUAGGCCGAAAUGCCACAGGUUUGAGUAAUGACAAACUAAACUGGCUGAUUUUUGCACCUUGACAGUGCAGGUUGAUUUUUUCUUUUCAAAUAAUUAGUUUGUAUUAGAAUUUUUAAAAUGAUAAAUAUGGUUUAUGAAUAUAACACGAAAUAUGUAGUUCAUCAAAUUCGUUUGUAGUCCGCGACACGGAAUUUGUAACCUUACGGAUUCUUAACGACCUAUAUUAAACGAU